RNAcentral lists this transfer RNA (72 nucleotides) under Patescibacteria group bacterium. RNAcentral describes it as "tRNA-Arg". It matches the Rfam family "tRNA". From Rfam's summary of the family: Transfer RNA (tRNA) molecules are approximately 80 nucleotides in length. Their secondary structure includes four short double-helical elements and three loops (D, anti-codon, and T loops). The record is from RNAcentral.
GCCCUUGUAGUUCAACGGAUAGAAUAGGCCCGUCCUAAGGGUUAGAUGGUGGUUCGAUUCCUCCCAGGGGUA